This 254-nucleotide ribosomal RNA is filed under the name uncultured bacterium. RNAcentral's name for it is "partial 16S ribosomal RNA". It matches the Rfam family "Bacterial small subunit ribosomal RNA", at positions 524 to 776 of the family's 1533-position model. The record is from RNAcentral.
UACGUAGGGGCCUAGCGUUGUCCGGAUUUAUUGGGCGUAAAGAGCUCGUAGGCGGUUGGGUAAGUCGGGUGUGAAAACUCCAGGCUCAACUUGGAGACGCCACCCGAUACUGCUCUGACUUGAGUUCGGUAGGGGAGUGGGGAAUUCCUGGUGUAGUGGUGAAAUGCGCAGAUAUCAGGAGGAACACCGGUGGCGAAGGCGCCACUCUGGGCCGAAACUGACGCUGAGGAGCGAAAGCGUGGGUAGCAAACAGG